Molecule: long non-coding RNA, 527 nt
Organism: Clupea harengus (Atlantic herring)
Lineage: Eukaryota; Metazoa; Chordata; Actinopteri; Clupeiformes; Clupeidae
Exons: 2
Source: RefSeq, a predicted model, not a curated record
CCAUGCGGGAAUCGAACCCAUGACCUUCUUGCUGUGAGGCAGCAGUGCAAGCACCUGAGCCACCGUGCCACAUCUCUGCAUUGGGUGGCUAUGAACUCAACCCUGAGGAGCCCCUUCUACAAGACACCUACAAGAGGAGGAUGGAUCUUAAUCUGAGCUCAGGUCUCUCUCAGAUAAACUUUAAAAGCUAGGAAAAACUCCUUCCUUGCAUUCAGUGAACAAACAAUGAAACUAUCUAUCGAGUGUGGAGGUGUGCAUCAUUGAAAGUGUCCCACCUUCAAACAUAAGAAAACACAUUAAUAUAAAUAUAUGAUUUUGUGGCUGUGAUUUUGUGUACAACCUUAUUGUUAAACCUACAGGGCAUGUAUAUAUUUGACAUUGAAAAACAGUAAUAUUAAAGAAUGUAUAUUUUCAUACAAGAAAUUCUCUUUUACAUCGAUGUAUUACACUUAUUUACGCCACAUUAACUUCUCUGGUUAUAUUUGACUAAUGAAUUAAUAAAGUGUUCUAACAUUCAUUCACCAAAA